RNAcentral lists this long non-coding RNA (265 nucleotides) under Elaeis guineensis (African oil palm). RNAcentral's name for it is "long non-coding RNA (EGUI_LNC071912)". The record is from RNAcentral. Lineage: Eukaryota; Viridiplantae; Streptophyta; Magnoliopsida; Arecales; Arecaceae.
AUCGAGGGCACCAUCGUAGUCGCAACUUCCACUCAACCGAGUGCAUCUUGUCCAGAUGAAGUCUCCCUUUUCGUUCAGUCGAGUAUUCCUCAAGUAACUCUGACCUUCGUUCUGAUUUCUCCUGCUCAAGGGAGAAAAAGGCUCUUGUCUUAGACGAUUGGUCCCAGUGUGUCGAUCUCCAUAGAAGAACCAUCCAAUGGCAGUGCCCACUCACAUGACAUCCCUGAAUAUGCCACUUUUGACAACUGAAAACUUGUUUGGGGAC